This 301-nucleotide ribosomal RNA is filed under the name uncultured bacterium. Its description in RNAcentral is "partial 16S ribosomal RNA". It matches the Rfam family "Bacterial small subunit ribosomal RNA", at positions 509 to 807 of the family's 1533-position model. The record is from RNAcentral.
CAGUAGCCACGGGAAUACGUAGGUGGCAAGCGUUGUCCGGAAUUAUUGGGCGUAAAGGGCUCGCAGGCGGUUUCUUAAGUCUGAUGUGAAAGCCCCCGGCUCAACCGGGGAGGGUCAUUGGAAACUGGGAAACUUGAGUGCAGAAGAGGAGAGUGGAAUUCCACGUGUAGCGGCGAAAUGCGUAGAGAUGUGGAGGAACACCAGUGGCGAAGGCGACUCUCUGGUCUGUAACUGACGCUGAGGAGCGAAAGCGUGGGGAGCGAACAGGAUUAGAGACCCGAGUAGUCCCUGUCUCUUAUAC